Molecule: ribosomal RNA, 3129 nt
Filed under: Triticum aestivum (bread wheat)
Lineage: Eukaryota; Viridiplantae; Streptophyta; Magnoliopsida; Poales; Poaceae
Description: partial small subunit ribosomal RNA
Source: RNAcentral
AUGAUGCCCCUCGGACGGUGUCCCAGUCCCACCCGGCCCGAGAUCCCCAAAUUUCCCCAACCCCCGAAACCCAAACAGCGCAAUCCCAAACCCAAACCUAAGCCCAGACCGAGAGACCCCGCACCCAAAUCUAGGGUUUCGCUUCCCCGCCGCAGGAUGGCUGCCCCCGCCGCCGCCGGCUCCGGCGCCGUCGUGCCCGCUGGUGACGGCGAGGGCUGGACCCCCAGUUUCGGCGACAUGGUCUGGGGCAAGGUGAAGUCGCAUCCGUGGUGGCCGGGCCACGUCUACAGCCUCACCCUCUCCGACGAUCCGGAGGUGCAUCGCGGCCACCGCCAUGGCCUCGUCCUCGUCGCCUUCUUCGGCGACGGCAGCUACGGCUGGUUCGAGCCGCACGAGCUCGUCCGCUUCGAGGACCACUUCGUCGAGAAGACCUCGCAGGGGGGCAGCCGCACCUUCCCCGCCGCCGUCGCCGAGUCCCUCGACGAGAUCUCGCGCCGCAGCGCGCUCGCGCUCCUCUGCCCCUGCCGUGGACCCGACACCUUCCGCCAACACAACGAGGAUCGGAGGUUCCUCCUGGUGAACGUGCCCGGGUUCGACAGCAACGCCGAGUACCUCCCCGAACAGGUGACGGCCGCGCGGGAGCGGUUCGUCCCGCAGAAGAUGUAUGACUUCCUGCAGAACGCUGCCGUGCAGCAGCGCGACGCGGCGGAGACGGCCGCACGGACCUUGCCUGGGAUCGAGAUGGCAGCGAUGCUCAUGGCGUACCGCCGGUCUAGGUACGAGAGGUACGACCUCACCUACGCCGAAUCAUUUGGGGUGGAUUCGAAGAAGGCCCUUGAAGGCGAGGUCAAGGCUGAGAAUGAACGGUCUCAACGAGCUCGCCCGCUCAAGGGUCGGCAGAAGGUGCCGGAGAAGGAGAACGCCCCGGCGAGGGGCCGGAGGGGCGCAGCCGGCGCGGCGGCGAGGCUCAUGGAGAAGAUCAUGCCCGGCGCGCCGGCCAUGAAGCCCAAGGCCAGCAAGAAGGACCAGUACCUGCUCAAGCGCCGGGAAGACGCGCGCGCGCCGGCGCUGCCGCCAGCCGCGCUCCCGGACGCGGCUCCCGCCCCGGACGACGGUGGCCCGCCGCCUGGCUUCCCCCCGGCUGAACCGCAGACGCCGCCGCUACCCAGCAGCACCGGAGGCGCCGACGAGGAGGAGUUUAUGCUGCAGAGACGCGCGCUCCCUCCUGCCGACCAGGCGAGCGACGGCGGCGCAACCGCAGACGCCGCUGCACCGAAGAAGGUGGCCAAGCCCAAGAAGGCCCGCAAGCGCGACAGCGAGGAGCCGGCCGAAGACGUGGCCGCCGCCGACGGCGAGCCCAAGAAGAAGAAGAAAAAGAAGAAGCUCGCUGAACUCAACGGCGGCGUGCCCUCUGCCGCCCCCUCCGGCGACGCCGGCGCUACAAAGCCCGCAGCUUUCUCACCCCCCAAGGUCGACCUUGACGGCUUAGAUCUGACACAGAGCUAUGAGAACGAUCCGCCGGAAGAGUCAAAGAAGGGCUUGGAUAAUAAGCCCAGUGUCGUUGCCGCCGCCGCCGCCGCCGUCUCUGACGGCCAGCCCCCCAAACCGUUGAAGAAGAAGCCGGUCAUGAGGCCCAGCGACCCCACCAGUGCUGGCGUGAAGCGCCCGCCGUCUGACCGCCAGGAGGAGAUUGCCUCCAAGAAGAAAAUCAAGCUGGACAAGAUUAAGACUCUGGCCGCCGACAAGAAGGCCGGGCUGGAGCAGAAAGUCGCCACCGCCACCGCAGCUGCGGGAGGCGGGACGACGGCGGCGGCUCAGCUGCCACGGGCUGGCCUGAAGGAAAAGGCUCUGGCGGCAGCCAAGAAGAAGGUGCCAGCGGCGGCGCCUGUGAAGAGGACGCCGUCGCCGACGGCGCUGAUGAUGAAGUUCCCGCUGAAGAGCACGCUGCCGUCGGUGGCCUCCCUCAAGGCGAGGUUCGCGCGCUUCGGGCCGCUCGACAUCAACGGCAUCCGCGUGUACUGGAAGUCCCACAUGUGCCGGGUCAUCUACAAGUUCCAGUCGGACGCGGAGGCCGCGCUCAAGUACGCCAAGGCCAACGCCAUGUUCGGGCAGGUGGCCCCCAACUACUACCUGCGCGGCGUCGAGGGAGGGUCGGCCGGCGCCGACCCAGGGCCUGAGCCGGCCCCUCCGCAGCGCUCUGACCUGCGGCUCAUGGAGACCACGCCGUUCAGGCCUGGGAGCUCCGGCAAUGGCGCUCCGCUGACGCUGUCCAAGGCGGUGCCGGCGCGCAUGUCCGUUGGGCUGCCCAAGUCAAUCCUGAAGAAGAGCAACGACGAGGGCGGGCUGGCUGCGGCCAGCGCGCUCCGAGACUCCCCUCGGGUGAAGUUCGUGCUGGACGGUGGGGACAGCAUGGUCGAGCCACCUCCAUUGCCACCGAGCUUCGAUGGAAACAAUGGCCCGGACACUGCUGCACCAGUGAGCAAGAUCGCGAGGUCGCUCGGCUUCGCUCAGCCGCCUCUGCAGCCGCCGGCACGCCCUGCGCAGCCCAACCUGCAGCCACUCAUGCGCCCACAGCACCAGCAACUGCAGCCGCCACGCGCACCUGAUUCACAGCCACUCCCACCACCGCCGCCGCUGCCAUACCAGCCUCGCAUCAACGAGCCAUCGUCGUACCAGCAGCCCCGUAUCAGCGAGCCAUCGCCGUACCAGUCUCGCGUCAACGAGCCACAGCUGUACCAGCCUCGUCGCACGGACGCGCCGCCAAUGUUCAACAUGCAGCCGCCGUACCAGCCUCGCCAGAGUGACGCGCCGCCACCGUUCAACAUGCAGCCGCAGUACCAGCCUCGCCACAGCGACGGACCGCUCGCCCUCCCUGGACAGCCGUCGCUGCCGCCGUACCCUCCCCGUGCCGGUUUCCCCGGACAGCAGUACUCUUCCCGCUCCGACGACAUGCCGCCGGCUCACUUCGACAACAACCCCAGCAGCAACGCCAUGCCGGCGUGGAAGAGGGGGGAGAAGGAGUUCAACGAGGAGCUGAUGAGGGUGAUGCUGGGGAUCGCCAAGCUGGUGGAGCCAUUGAUGGACAAGAACGGCAACUUCCCCUACCACCUCUUCAGCCGGUCAGCAUGA